RNAcentral lists this ribosomal RNA (433 nucleotides) under uncultured bacterium. Its description in RNAcentral is "partial 16S ribosomal RNA". It matches the Rfam family "Bacterial small subunit ribosomal RNA", at positions 29 to 507 of the family's 1533-position model. The record is from RNAcentral.
AACGAACGCUGGCGGCAUGCCUAACACAUGCAAGUCGAACGAGACCUUCGGGUCUAGCGGCGCACGGGUGCGUAACGCGUGGGAACCUGCCCUUAGGUUCGGAAUAACUCCCCGAAAGGGGUGCUAAUACCGGAUAAUGUCUUCGGACCAAAGAUUUAUCGCCUUUGGAUGGGCCCGCGUCGGAUUAGCUAGUUGGUAGGGUAAAAGCCUACCAAGGCGACGUUCCAUAGCUGGUCUGAGAGGAUGAGCAGCCACACUGGGACUGAGACACGGCCCAGACUCCUACGGGAGGCAGCAGUGGGGAAUAUUGGACAAUGGGCGAAAGCCUGAUCCAGCAAUGCCGCGUGAGUGAUGAAGGCCGUAGGGUUGUAAAGCUCUUUUACCCGGGAUGAUAAUGACAGUACCGGGAGAAUAAGCUCCGGCUAACUCCGUG